This 254-nucleotide ribosomal RNA is filed under the name uncultured bacterium. RNAcentral's name for it is "partial 16S ribosomal RNA". It matches the Rfam family "Bacterial small subunit ribosomal RNA", at positions 526 to 779 of the family's 1533-position model. The record is from RNAcentral.
CGGAGGGCGCGAGCGUUACCCGGAUUUACUGGGCGUAAAGGGCGUGUAGGCGGCUUGGGGCGUCCCAUGUGAAAGGCCACGGCUCAACCGUGGAGGAGCGUGGGAUACGCUCAGGCUAGAGGGUGGGAGAGGGUGGUGGAAUUCCCGGAGUAGCGGUGAAAUGCGCAGAUACCGGGAGGAACGCCGAUGGCGAAGGCAGCCACCUGGUCCACUUCUGACGCUGAGGCGCGAAAGCGUGGGGAGCAAACCGGAUU